This 376-nucleotide unclassified non-coding RNA is filed under the name uncultured Chlamydiales bacterium. RNAcentral's name for it is "contains 16S-23S intergenic spacer region". The record is from RNAcentral. Lineage: Bacteria; Pseudomonadati; Chlamydiota; Chlamydiia; Chlamydiales.
UCCUGGUUACCCAGGCAGUCUCAUUAGAGUUCCCACCUUAAAUGUUGGCAACUAAUGAUAAGGGUUGCGCUCGUUGCUGGACUUAACCAAACACCUCACGGCACGAGCUGACGACAGCCAUGCAGCACCUGUACAGAGACCCUUACGGGAGAUGACAUUUCUGCCAUUGUCCUCUGUAUGUCAAGUCUGGGUAAGGUUCUUCGCGUAGCAUCGAAUUAAACCACAUUCUCCACUGCUUGUGCGGGCCCCCGUCAAUUCUUUUGAGUUUCACCCUUGCGAGCGUACUCCUCAGGCGGUAUACUUAUCGCGUUAGCUACGACACAGCUGGGGUUGAGACCAACUACAUCAAGUAUACAUCGUUUAGGGCAAGGACUAC